Salvelinus fontinalis (brook trout) is the source of this 3174-nucleotide long non-coding RNA. RefSeq lists it as uncharacterized. The record is from RefSeq and is a predicted model, not a curated record. Lineage: Eukaryota; Metazoa; Chordata; Actinopteri; Salmoniformes; Salmonidae. The transcript has 4 exons.
UACUGCAUUACAUUAGCGCCACCUGCUGUUUUGGAGCCUUUCAUGGAAAACCAGUUAUUGGAUCCAACCCAUUACCUGGACAAAGCAGAGUUUGCCCUCAGUUUCAAUGUGGAUGGACCGGAAACCCAGUGACAACACUUGGGUCUGCAGCUGCCAUUUUCCGGUGGGAAAGAGAAAAGGCCCUGUAUUUACCAGAAAAGGUAGCUCAUCCACCAUGGCAGAAGAGGAAGAUCCAGACUGUUGAUUGGGAAACAAGAACAAACAAUGCGGCAUGAGGAUUGGGUGUUGAUCCAACAGGAGUGCAUCCCUCAGUCCAUCCAGUGCGUGGACAUCCCGUGCCAGUGUGAUCUGGUUGUGGAGACUACGUCAGAACAAGCCUGUAGACAGACAGACAUGAUAUGCGGAACAUCAGGCUCGCCCCACGAGAAGCAGUGCAUGAUUAACGCCAACCUCAGCAAGGAGAUCUGCUGGAAGUGAUGUACUCUCUCACUCUGGGGGUAAGACAUCAUUUAAACAUCACAGAUAUAAAUUCCCACUGUGCCCAUGAUGAAAUGCAACUGUGAAUUGUGCUGUACUACUGAAUGAAACAGGAAAUGCACUCAGACCAGUCUUUGAUUGAACUUACGUUGACUACAUUACUUUAGUUGGCUGCUUUGAGCAAAACUUGUACGGAAUACAGAAAGUAUUCAGACCCCUUGACUUUUUCCACAUUUUUUUACGUUACAGCCAUAUUCUAAAAGGGAUUUUUUAUAAAUAAUCCCCCUCAAUCUACACACAAUAGCCCAUAAUGACAAAGCAAAAACAGGUUUGUAAACAUUUUAGAAAUAUCACAUUUACAUAAUUAUUAUUCAGUACUUUGCUGAAGCUGAAGUACUUUGCUGAAGCACCGCGUUUCUCGGCGGCUGCUGUGGAGAUUUUCGGGGCCGUGGAGAAGAACAUAGCGAUGUCAGGAAGAACAAAGGUUAUGUACGUAACCACGGUUAUGUGAGCUACCGGAUCACUCCAACCCUCUUUGUCGGUGAUCUACGGCACCUCGAAAAAGGACAUGAGGUGGAAGUAGUGCGGCGGCAGCUAUUUAAGGGGUUUCGCCGCAGCCUCAGCACUACCCGGUACAAAUCUGAAAUCCUUACUCAGAAUGUGUCCUGCUGUGCGGAGGGAUACCUUAUUGAAGGAUACCAUAUUGGAAUGAUCCAAUGGCUCACAUAACCGUGGUUACGUACAUAACCUUCGUUCUUCCUGACACCGCUAUGUUCUUCUCCAAGACCCCGAAUAUCUCCACAGCAGCCGGCGAGAAACGCUCGGUGACGAACAUAUUCAACAACUGUAGUUUGCACGUAUUGAUGAUGGUUAUGAAUGAUGCUACAUUUUUUAUGUCCAUUACAGGGCGUUCCAGGAAUGCCCCAUAGAAGCCGCCGGCAGAGAUUUUUCAAUUAACCUGUUCUUGGCAGCGAAACAUGUUUUGUAUCGAGUGAGAUGUGCCUCUUGCAUGUGUGUAGAUCUUUGUUUUGGUUGUACUGCGUUACGCGCUGUCAUCUACUUCUACACGUGGCCGUUGACGCUUCGCAUAGAAAUGACUAGUUCCUGAAAAAAUGCAGGGAAAUGUUAGAUGUGUGGCAGCUAAAAUGGCGAGGAACCUCCUCGCAGGGUACAAAACAUGGAUUUAAUAUCUUUCUGAGUUUUCUUGUUUUUGUAGAACCACCUGCAAAUGGAAUCGAGAACUAAGAAAUUAUCGGCAAGAACAGGUUAGUUAAAAAAUCUAUGGUGGUGGUUUGUGUGUGGCUUUCCUGUAACGGCCAGUAAUGGACACCAAAAACCUUGAGGUGAGGAGGAGGAUUAUUUAAGAUACUGUUUGAAAGUUUUCUGAUGUUUUUGGAAGAUGGGCAGGGACUCUGCUGUCCUGGCUUCAGGGAGAAGCUGGUUCUACCAUUGGUGUGCCAGAACAGAGAAGAACUUGGGCUGAGUGGGAGCUGCCCUCCCGUAGGGGUGGGAAGGCAAAGAGACCUGAGGUGUCAGAACGGAGUGCUCGGGUUGGGGUGUAGGGUUUGAGCAUAGCCUGAAGUUCCUCUUGUUGUUCCGUAGGUAAGCACCAUGGUCUUGUAGUGGAUGGGAGCUUCGAUUGGAAGCCCCAGUGGAGUGUGCGGAGGAGCGGGGUGACAUGAGAGAACUUGGGAAGGUUGAAAACCAGGCGGGCUGCAGUGUUCUAGAUAAGUUUGAUGGCACGAGUGGGGAGCCCAGCCAACAGCGAGUCGCAGUAGUCCAGACGGGAGAGGACGAGUUCCUGGAUUAGGACCUGCACCGCUUCCUGUGUGAGGUAGGGUCGUAUUCUACGGAUGUUGAAAAGCAUGAACCUGCAGGAGCGUGUCACUGCUUCAGUGUUUGCAGAGAACGGCAGGGUGUUGUCCAGGGUCACGCCAAGGUUCUUUACACUCUGGGAGGGGGACACUGUGGAGUUGUCAACUGUGAUGGAGAGGUCUUUGAGCAGGCAGGCCUUCCCCGGGAGGAAGAGCAGUUUUUUCUUGUUGAGCUUGAGGUGCUGGGCCAACAUCCAUGUUGAGAUAUCUGCCAGGCACGCAGAGAUGCGUGUCGCCACCUGGGUGUCAGAAGGGGGAAAGGAGAAACGUAGUUGAGUGUCAUCCGCAUAGCAAUGAUAGGAGAGACCAUGUGAGGAUAUGAUGGAACCGAGUGAUUUGGUGUAUAGUGACAAAAUUACAUACUCUGUUAUGCACAUCAUUUGUAUACGCCUUAAACCUGUACAUUUCCACUGUCUAUUUCUAUCAUGUGAGAAGAAGCCAGUGUUUUUCCUCUCUUGUUUCUGAGUAACUUAGUCACGUGGCCAAAGACAAAAGGGCCGUCUGAGUGACCCGUCUUUUGGUCCAUCCUGUUCUUUUCCUAUCUUUCAAGGGCACAGCUGUGUGGAGAUAUGAAGAGAACAGAGGCUAGCUUGAGCAGAAGCGACAAUUCUAUCAGCAGAAAGGAGUAACAAAACUGGCAUUAUCACUUGUUUGUACGCUAUGCUCCCACCAUGAUCUCACACCCCUGCUAAAAUGCCAUAUAGACAAAAGAGGUUGUAUUUUCCUAUAAAGGCUGAGAACCAACUGUUGUUUGUUGGGCUCUUGACUGUUGCACCUGCUCCAUUAUUGCAAAUCUUAUAAUAAAAUAAGUUGUUUUGAGGAA